CAGACAGAAGACUGUAAACUCAGAGGAGAAAUAUGACAUCAGAUCCCUCAUUUCCUAUAUUUUCUCCAGUUUCAGUAGUUGACUCUUUCCAUGGGAUUCAUUUCUCUCUGCUCACCCCCAACAUUAUCUUGUUAGCAACAUCACUGCAGGCUGGCGAACAAUUCCCAGUGCUGCAAAAAUGAUCCAAAACACAUCAUCUCCCGGAAGGCUAAUUAUAAAAAACAUUGCAUGUUUUGAUAAUGGCUUCUGCUACUCAGAAAGUAGAAAGUGAAAUCUUGAAUUGAGAUACUGAACAUAUGUAUAAAGGUGCAUUUCCCCCCCUCAAAUAUGCUGAACCUUAUGCCACAGAGUGAACAUGAGGAGAACUAACUACCAUGGGGGUUGAUUUGGUAUUGAGUAUGGGGUACUAAACAAAUAAAAUGCAAAUAAAUAGUGGUUGAAUUGCUUCCUUGGAGAAAAGAGUUCCAGUUCCCUUGAAAAAGCUCCCAGGAUCCUUUCAAAAAUUGUUCAUAAAUUCUAAUUUUUAAUGUGAUUUUAUUAAAUGCAAAUGUGGUGAUCAUAGUAAUAGUCUUCACAGUUAAUGCUCUGUAAUGUAAAUUCCUUAAGAAUUAAAAAUAAAUCAAACUUA
Molecule: long non-coding RNA, 628 nt
Organism: Candoia aspera
Lineage: Eukaryota; Metazoa; Chordata; Lepidosauria; Squamata; Candoiidae
Exons: 3
Source: RefSeq, a predicted model, not a curated record